Molecule: ribosomal RNA, 405 nt
Filed under: uncultured bacterium
Lineage: Bacteria
Description: bacterial SSU rRNA
Rfam family: Bacterial small subunit ribosomal RNA
Source: RNAcentral
UGGGGAAUCUUGCGCAAUGGGCGAAAGCCUGACGCAGCAACGCCGCGUGCGGGAUGAAGGCCCUAGGGUUGUAAACCGCUUUCAGUAGGAACGAAAAUGACGGUACCUGCAGAAGAAGGUGCGGCCAACUACGUGCCAGCAGCCGCGGUGACACGUAGGCACCAAGCGUUGUCCGGAUUUAUUGGGCGUAAAGAGCUCGUAGGCGGUUUAGUAAGUCGGGUGUGAAAACUCUGGGCUUAACCCAGAGCCGCCACUCGAUACUGCUGUGACUUGAGUUCGGUAGGGGAGCAGGGAAUUCCUAGUGUAGCGGUGAAAUGCGCAGAUAUUAGGAGGAACACCGGUGGCGAAGGCGCUGCUCUGGGCCGAUACUGACGCUGAGGAGCGAAAGCGUGGGUAGCAAACAGG